RNAcentral lists this ribosomal RNA (200 nucleotides) under uncultured bacterium. RNAcentral describes it as "partial 16S ribosomal RNA". It matches the Rfam family "Bacterial small subunit ribosomal RNA", at positions 335 to 528 of the family's 1533-position model. The record is from RNAcentral.
UAGCUACGGGAGGCAGCAGUGGGGAAUUUUGGACAAUGGGCGCAAGCCUGAUCCAGCCAUGCCGCGUGUCUGAAGAAGGCCUUCGGGUUGUAAAGGACUUUUGUCAGGGAAGAAAAGGAUAGGGUUAAUACCCCUGUCUGAUGACGGUACCUGAAGAAUAAGCACCGGCUAACUACGUGCCAGCAGCCGCGGUAAUGCUA